RNAcentral lists this ribosomal RNA (468 nucleotides) under uncultured bacterium. RNAcentral describes it as "partial 16S ribosomal RNA". It matches the Rfam family "Bacterial small subunit ribosomal RNA", at positions 28 to 507 of the family's 1533-position model. The record is from RNAcentral.
GACGAACGCUGGCGGCGUGCUUAACACAUGCAAGUCGAACGGAAAGGCCCUGCUUUUGUGGGGUGCUCGAGUGGCGAACGGGUGAGUAACACGUGAGUAACCUGCCCUUGACUUUGGGAUAACUUCAUGAAACUUGGGGUAAUACCGGAUAGGAGCUCCUGCUGCAUGGUGGGGGUUGGAAAGUUUCGGCGGUUGGGGAUGGACUCGCGGCUUAUCAGCUUGUUGGUGGGGUAGUGGCUUACCAAGGCUUUGACGGGUAGCCGGCCUGCGAGGGUCACCGGCCACAUUGGGACUGAUAUACGGCCCAGACUCCUACGGGAGGCAGCAGUGGGGAAUAUUGCACAAUGGGCGGAAGCCUGAUGCAGCAACGCCGCGUGCGGGAUGACGGCCUUCGGGUUGUAAACCGCUUUCGCCUGUGACGAAGCGUGAGUGACGGUAAUGGGUAAAGAAGCACCGGCUAACUACGUG